Transfer RNA from Dictyostelium purpureum, 82 nucleotides. It matches the Rfam family "tRNA". From Rfam's summary of the family: Transfer RNA (tRNA) molecules are approximately 80 nucleotides in length. Their secondary structure includes four short double-helical elements and three loops (D, anti-codon, and T loops). NCBI's taxonomy places the organism in Eukaryota, Evosea, Eumycetozoa, Dictyosteliales, Dictyosteliaceae. The record is from Rfam.
GUUGUUUUGCCCGAGUUGGUCUAAGGGGUUGCAUUAAGGCUGCAAUAUCAUUGAUGCGAGGGUUCGAAUCCCUCAGACAACA